Molecule: ribosomal RNA, 253 nt
Filed under: uncultured bacterium
Lineage: Bacteria
Description: partial 16S ribosomal RNA
Rfam family: Bacterial small subunit ribosomal RNA
Source: RNAcentral
UACGUAGGGGGCAAGCGUUGUCCGGAAUCAUUGGGCGUAAAGAGCGUGUAGGCGGUUCAGUAAGUCUGCUGUAAAAGUCCAGGGCUCAACCCUGGAAAGCCGGUGGAUACUGCUGAACUAGAGUCCGGAAGGGGCGAGUGGAAUUCCUGGUGUAGCGGUGAAAUGCGCAGAUAUCAGGAGGAACACCACUAGCGAAGGCAGCUCGCUGGGACGGAACUGACGCUGAGACGCGAAAGCGUGGGGAGCAAACAGG